Molecule: ribosomal RNA, 405 nt
Filed under: uncultured bacterium
Lineage: Bacteria
Description: partial 16S ribosomal RNA
Rfam family: Bacterial small subunit ribosomal RNA
Source: RNAcentral
GAUGAACGCUGGCGGCGUGCCUAAUACAUGCAAGUCGAGCGAAGCGGGGACGGGUCAGUAACCCUUUGAUAACCUCCUAUAAGUCUGGGAUAACUUCGGGAAACCUGUGCUACCCCGGAUACUUAUACAUGGAUCCUCGCUGCAUUAGCUAGUUGGUAAGGUAACGGCUUACAAAGUCAACGAUGCAUAGCCGACCUGAGAGGUGGAUCGGCCACACGGGAACUGAGACACGGGCCAGACUCCUACGGGAGGCAGCAGUAGGGAAUCUUCCGCAAUGGGCGAAAGCCUGACGGAGCAACGCCGCGUGAGUGAUGAAGGUCUUCGGAUCGUAAAACUCUGUUAUUAGGGAAGCGGUACCUAAAGAGAAAGCCACGGCUAACUACGUGCCAGCAGCCGCGGUAAUAG